GGGGAAGGGAGUAUGAGCAAGCAGUCAGUCAUCAAUAGCAUCCUGCUCUUAAGCCAAGGUGAGGAUGGCUGGUUUGAGUGUGCCUUCAUUUCCCCCAGGUGCAUGCAGGUCUGCUCCCUGAAUGCAGCUUGCUAUCAAGGGAACUAAGAAAGGAUGUAGGCAUAUUGUUAAUGUCUCUCUUCAAGCUGUAUUUGAGCUUACAUUUCAGGUCUCAUCUACUGGAGAAAGCCUGCUCACAAGCCUCCAUCAGUUAGUUACCCUCUGGUGAGAGAAAGCU
This 277-nucleotide long non-coding RNA is filed under the name Chloebia gouldiae (Gouldian finch). RNAcentral's name for it is "Erythrura gouldiae (Gouldian finch) lncRNA (ENSEGOG00005003386.1)". Lineage: Eukaryota; Metazoa; Chordata; Aves; Passeriformes; Passeridae. The record is from RNAcentral.